RNAcentral lists this long non-coding RNA (6563 nucleotides) under Sus scrofa (pig). Its description in RNAcentral is "lncRNA (ENSSSCG00000052457.1)". Lineage: Eukaryota; Metazoa; Chordata; Mammalia; Artiodactyla; Suidae. The record is from RNAcentral.
AGCCUGAUGCAGGUACUGUUUAUUGUCCCCUCCACGUCUUGACCCUCUUGGCAACAUAAAACAGUCAUUAGUAAGUCUUACAUGCACCUUCCAGUCAUGAAAAGCUACUUCUUAAGGUUAAAGCCACUCUUUUGUGUAUAUUUUUGUAGCCUGGAUAGCCCAACCUAAAUAAUGUUAGCUUCCACCCAAGGCCUUGGGAUGCCUUCAGUGGUCCUUCAAGCACAGUCUCCUUUUCAUUUGUAGAAGAGCCCUUCCACAAAAGGCAGGGCUAGACUGUAGUUCCAGCUAAUAUGUGCAUCUCAGCUGCAUGUGCCUCAUCUCCCUGUAUCUACAUGAGUGACUUUUGCAUGGCUAAAAAGUCUUUUUUGAUGCAGCUUUUCCUGUCUUGUUUGCUUAUAGAGAAACCAUGAUCAGGAAGGUAGUUUAUACCAGAGUGGAGUUAGUGCCAUUUUCCAAACACUGAAAACUCCACCAAACAUUUGGUAGUAUAAAGAAACUGUGCACUUCCUUGUGGAAAAGUAAAGCCCUUUCAUUCUUGGCUUCUUUUCGGACUUCCAAAUGUAACUCCCUUCAUAGUUGCCUUGGUGAUUUUUUUGCUCAUCUGUCAUUGCAGGUGGUCCCUAUUCUUCACCUGUUUCCUCUUCCUCCAUUAUUUACUGAGUGACUUGACCUGUGAUAAUAUAAACACAAGAAGGGCUCCAGAAGUCAUGGAUAACUAUUGGCUGAUGGUGAUAAAAAGCUUUCCUAUAAGAAAUUCCACUUUGGUGAGUAUAUUUACAGGCAGAUAAUGAGGCAGCAGAGUGAAUUUUGAUCACAAAAAUUCCUAUGCCUUUGGUGGAGUUGAUUUCAAAGUUUUCCACAUCAAUAUAAUAUACAUUCAAUGUUUCCUAUGUCUGUGAAGAAAGCCCUCCACUUCCCAGCUAGUUCUCUCCCACAAGAGCAAAUGCUAAAGUAGCAUUUCACUCUUUAUUCACAACGACUGCCCAGUGCCCUUCAACCCCUGCCAUAAAACUUGGCAGUUACAUUCAGCACAUUUCUCUUACACAUUUUGCUGGAAAGCCUUCCCCAGUUUGGCUUUGCUUCCUCGCCCCUCUGCUUUGUUAUUGAAUAUGAAGAAGUAUUCAUUAUGCAGAUUUUCAAACUGUAAUCUGGCCCUACAUUCAUCAUCUGUGCUGCCUCUAUUUCACAAUAAUGUCACAUGAACACUGUUUAGCAUAUUUACCUGGUUUUUAAGUUUUUAAAUGUUGGUGGGUUUUAGGAGCAAUGGGAUUGACAAAGUGUGAUGCUUCAGGAUUUCUCUACCCAAAUGCUCUUUUCUUCUAGGCCAAGGAUUUGGAAUAUUUUGCUCCUCAAAAUGUUUCAGUAAGUUGCCUAUGAAUGUCCCUGAAUAGUCUCUUUCUUGCUGCCAUAAUCAAUUUCAACUAUCUUUAUCUAUAAUUCAUCUGCUCCUUCAUCUUACAAUGCAUUCAACACUGCUUCUACGUCCACCUGUGGGAAGGUCAUUUCUUUGGUCCACAAAACACCCCUUUCUUAAUAGUAUUGUUUAUUGGCAUACAUCAAUUUGUCUGAAAUUGACUCACGUGUUGGGGACUGGGCUAAAUUCUCACUUUGUUCUUUCCAGUGCAUGAAAACCCAAUCCAAAGUAGGAUCUUUCUGUUUUGAGGCGCAAAAAACAUGGAACACACUGAGUAAAAAAGUAAGGUUUAACACAAAUAUACUGCACCAGGAUUAGCAUGUCAGGGUGCUAGUCAGAGCCUCUGACUAAUAGUAUGACCUUAGUUAAUCACUCUGCCUCUUUUCUGAGCCCAGCGUUCUCCCAUGUAAAAUAAGGAUAUUGGACUAUGUAGUUUCAAAUGGUUAUUCUCACUCCAGUUGUCUAAGUUUCGAAGCAUUGUGAUUGCUGACAUGGCAAAAAAAUAGUUAUAAAUCAAAAGCACCUUUGAAGAAUAAUAAAAUUCUUUCAUAUGCUCACAGCUUUUCUAUCAUAUAGAGUACAUUAUCAUGUGACUCAAGUUGUCUCAUAAGUAUAGAAAAGCAGUGCUGUCUAACACAUCAAAAAAACCCAGCUCUAACAUGUUUCAAUCUCUUAUCUCAACACUUUUUGCCUAUUCUUUUUUCACAUGUAGUUUUCUACAUUGGUGUCUUAUGAUCUUGUAUAAGAAAAAUAUCAGAUUAUCUGAUUUAGGCCAAAGGGAUGGGAGGAGGAGAGAAAGUCUUAAUAGAGUUAUUCUUUCAACAAUUAAAUUAUUUAGGAUAUCCUAGUUUUUACCAAAGUCCUACAGGUUAGAGCCCCAUUUUUUUCAAGCAGUAAUUUUAUAAAGACUUACCAUAUAUUAUUGGUUAUUUUAUUAAAUGCUCCAAAGUUAUGAGUUAUGCUAUGAAAAUUUCUAGCAUGCAUGGUAUUACCUAUGAGGACAUUUUCAAAAAUCUCAAAAGUUUUCAUCAGAUAGAGUCAGUUAUAAAUUCAGCUGGGAAUAAUCAGAAGAGAAGGAAACCAUAAGCUUGGAAGAGAAAAAGACAGGAGUAAGAAAAAGUUCCAACUCCCUCCCCCAUGACCCUCCAAAAAACUACUUUAAGGAAUCAUGCAAACAGUGAAGGAAGAUGAGAUGACUACAUUAGGACCUUAGACUUUUACUCCUGCUUCUCUAAAGAAGUGGAUUAUAUGUCCAGAAACAUGAUGGGACACAAAAAGCAAAACCAUAAAACCAAAACCAUCACUAACAUCUGGAUAAAGGACUAGACUUGGAAAAAUGUCCCUCAAUACCUAUGACAUGUACAACAAACCAGGACAGGUCUGCAGGUUUACAGUUCAAACUUAAAGAGAGAGAGCAUCCAAAGGAUUUCUGGUGAGCAGGUCAGUGAAUUGAAAACAAGCAGAGUUGCCAUAUAAAUGGGAAAAUGUAUAAAAUGUUAUUGGAAAUCUUCCUAGUUUUCUGGAUAUUUGAUUUCAUUUUAAUAAUAAAAAAAUUGAUAGAUUCCCUUUCAACUCCAGUGGCUAUGAUAAUUCAUUUUUCAUAUAAGAAUUUAAAUGUAUGUUUGGAAAUGGAAUUUUUUUUUUGUCUUUUUGCCUUUUUUGGGGCCGCUCCUGCAGCGUAUGGAGAUUCCCAGGCUAGGGAUCUAGUUAGAGCUGUAGCUGCCAGCCUACACCAAAGCCAUGACAACACGGGAUCCAAGCCAUGUCUGUGACCUACACCACAGCUCACAGAAACGUCGGAUCCUUAACCCACUAAGCAAGGCCAGGGAUGGAACCCGCAACCUCGUGGUUCCUGGUCAGAUUCAUUAAGCACUGAGCCAUGACGGGAACUCUGGGAGUGGAAAUAUUUUGUAUCUAAACUGACAAUAAUAUAUGUGUGUUUUUCUUUUGUUGUCUGUUUUGUUUGUUGUGGCUAUUUUGGGGAGAAAGGUAUAUCACUUGAUCCAUUGGAAAAUCCAAAAAAAAAAAAAAAAUGGGGUUAUAUUUUCCUUAUUCUCAGUUAAAGAAACCUACAACCAUAAAGGUUAAACAACUUCUCUGUGACUUAUCACAAAGCCAAGAAGUGGCAGAGAUGGGACCAAUAUCCAAAUCCCCAGCUUCUCAAACCUUUGCUAGGGACCUAUGUCCCUUCCAUCAACAUUCUAAAAUUUAAAAAAUAUAAUAAUUUCUCCACUUCAAAUUCAGAAUAACCAAAACAGCUUUGCCCCGUAAUGUUUCUAUGGAACGUCUUUACAAUGUCUUUUCAAAUCACCUGCAAGCUGUGCUAUGAUGACAACUACACUGUCCUCUUACUUUAAAUAUUUGAACCUAAAUCACAGCUACUCUACUAAGUCCCGUGAGCUCUUGGACAAGUCAUUUAAGAUCUUUAAGUUUUAGUUUAUGUAUAAAUGGCAAUCAAAAUAUCAUCCCUCUGAGAUUAGGGGGAUUAAAUUAAAUAAUCCAUUCAAAAAGCACCUUGUAAACUAUAGAUUAUCACCAAUAAUUUACCACAUAUGCUAAAGUAAUUCUUUUCUGCUUAUGAAAUAACAUUGAUAAUCUUAUACAAGGCAUUCAAAGUCCUCUUUGACAUUCAUUUUUAAUCUUUUUUCUGCUAAUAAUAAAACCUUACAUAUAUCAAGAAAAUAGUCUGUGCCAGAGAUAACCUGAACAUUUAUUAUCUCAUGUAAACCUCAUAGCAAGCUUGUAAUAAAGACAUCACUAUUAUCCCAAUUUUAUAGCUGUUUAUUGAUGUUUGGAAGGUAGAGAAACUCUCCCAACAUCCACACAGAGAAGAAGGAUGAGAGUCAAAUCCUGGAUGAUUCCACAGUAAAUUUCACCAUCAUGUGGUACUGUUUCUAAAUACAGCAGAAAUCACACUCAACUCUGUAACAAUCACCUUACUACACUAUGAAAAAGCUUGGUAUAGAAACUCACAGGGAUGCUCAACAAUUACAGGUGAAUGUAUAAUCUGGGUAGAGAGUGAUCAAGAGUAAAGUGUCCUGAAUUCAAACCAGAUCCACCCUAGACUAGCAUAAUGACUAAAAAAGUUCUUUAUCCUGUAAAUGGGACAAACAAACAAAUAAAAUGGACCUCAGAGUAUUGCUAUGAGAAGUAAAUGAGUAAAUACACAUUCAUCUCUCAACAUGUCUGGCAUAGAGGUAAUACUAUACAAAUGUUAUCAUUUGUUACCACAUACAAUGUCAUGAACACCACAGCUCUGUAUGGUCUUGUACUUCACACCACAAAAUUACCUGACUUUCUGCCUCAUUCACUAGUUGAUUGGCUUAAUUGUUCAGACCUCGGCCAAAAUGUUGCUUUGGUAAUGAAUCUAUCUUUUAUGUGCCUGCCAUGUUCCCAUUCUUUUGCACCCACUCAAUCAAGCUCUCUUAUUAUACUCAUAGUCCAUUCCUUAAAACAUUUAUCAUACUUGUAGUUAAAUAAUGAAUUGGACUAUUAGUCUUAAAAUUUCUGGCCUCUCACUAGAAAGUGCCAUGAGGGCAGAGGCUAUUGUCCAUUGCUGUAUCUUGCACAGUAAAGUGCUUUAUAAAAACCUAAUGAAUGAAGGAAUAACUUCAUCUUCCUUUUGUUUUAUCCCUCUAAUUUACAUAGUGUCUCAUGGUUUGAAAAUCCAUUUUGUCUUUUUCUCCAUGAAUUGUUCUGUUUGUAUCAUGAAUUUUCAAACUUCCUGGCCAACCCUAAUUGACUAAAAAUAUUUAUAGGAAUUUCCUGUCAUUAUAUCUGUGCCAAUGACAACUAAAUUGCCAGUUUCUUCCUCCUUAAAUAUUAGAUUUCUGAAAUACAAGUAGAUUAACUCAGCUAAGAAAACAAGAAAUAGAAAUCUUUUCAUGUUUUGCGCACUGCUUUUAAACUGCAUUUAGAAUGUGUUUCUGGAAAUAUGCAUAAUCAUUCAUGAAUCUCCUUUCAUUUGAAUACCACAGUAAUGACAACUUAAGAUAUAUUGUUUGCUGUUUAUUCAAAAUAGAUUCCAGUUAUCAAAGUAGAUCUUUCUGUGUACACCCUGUUCCAUAUUUGCUAUGGACUCAAUUAGUAAUGAUCAUGCAUGCUGAUGCUGUUUUGGAAUUAUGACUUGAAAUGUACCACAGUAACUUCUAUAAUGGUAAGGAGUAGUGCUUUCUUUCUUUUUAAAUCCAGUUAAAUUAUAUAGGAAGAAUUUGUAAAACUUGAAAUCUCAAGCAUAUACCACACUCGAUUUAUCAAAUGUUUAUGCCACAUGUAGCUUAAUACAUCAAGACUUCAAAACACUGUGGAAAUAAGGUGGUCUGAGUACCAAUUCUAAUCAAAGGUGAACUCUAAAUUUCUCAGGAAAAACCUCUCUUCCUAUAAGCUGAUAACACACAGAAGUUAUCCCUUAAUUGUGCUCUGAUAUAUAAAAAUAUUUUUAAAUUUUAUCUUGUAGUGAAUAAGUUUGAUUAUAUUCAUCAUUUAAUUCUACCAUAUUAGUGAUGCCAUUGACAGAAGCAAACUCUCCUUUUAGGGUAUUAUGAAAUUAUAAACUCUCAGAAAAAAGCAGUUUCAGAUCUACCCCUUACCAGAAGGAUAAAUCCAAAUGUAUAUAUAACUUCCUAUAUCCUUUUCCAUCUGCAAAAUGGGGAAAACAAUAGUUCCUGCCUUAGAGUUUCUUUGAUGAUUCAAUUACAUAGAGCCUGUAAGAGUUUAUUUUAGAUUCUGUCACAUGGUAAACUCUCAAUACAUACUAAUCAUUAUUUUUACCAUUAUUAUUAUAUUGUUCAUGUGUGAAUAUCUGUAUCAUUCACACAAGCACCUGCCAUUUUAUUCUCUUUACAUGUAUCAGUUCAUUCUUCUCUAGACAGCAAAGACCUUGGUGUCUGGCUAGAGGCAUUGUUAUUUCUACCCUUCUAUGUCAUAUACACAGAAAAUGAUCAGUUGAUUGGAAGUUGAUGUGUUGGUUUACCUCUGUCUCACUAUAAUGAAUUCACUUGCCUUCCAGAAAUGUCAGUUGAGCACUUUUUUCUGUAUGACUCUGUGCUAGACACUGGAGAAACAGAGGUGUCCAAUGCAACAUUAUGGAUGGCUUUUCAAAAUUUAUCCAAAAACUUAGAAUUUUUAAAGCCAUAGUUAAAGUCAAACU